GAUGAACGCUGGCGGCGUGCUUAACACAUGCAAGUCGAACGGAAAGGCCCAAGCUUGCUUGGGUACUCGAGUGGCGAACGGGUGAGUAACACGUGGGUGAUCUGCCCUGCACUUCGGGAUAAGCCUGGGAAACUGGGUCUAAUACCGGAUAGGACCACAUUUUGGAUGGUGUGGUGGAAAGUUUUUCGGUGUGGGAUGAGCUCGCGGCCUAUCAGCUUGUUGGUGGGGUAAUGGCCUACCAAGGCGUCGACGGGUAGCCGGCCUGAGAGGGUGUACGGCCACAUUGGGACUGAGAUACGGCCCAGACUCCUACGGGAGGCAGCAGUGGGGAAUAUUGCACAAUGGGCGCAAGCCUGAUGCAGCGACGCCGCGUGGAGGAUGACGGCCUUCGGGUUGUAAACUCCUUUCGCUAGGGACGAAGCGUUAUGUGACGGUACCUGGAGAAGAAGCACCGGCUAACUACGUG
This 466-nucleotide ribosomal RNA is filed under the name uncultured bacterium. RNAcentral's name for it is "partial 16S ribosomal RNA". It matches the Rfam family "Bacterial small subunit ribosomal RNA", at positions 28 to 507 of the family's 1533-position model. The record is from RNAcentral.